GCCCCCAUCGUCUAGAGGACUAGGACGUGGCCCUUUCAAGGCCAAGACAGGAGUUCGAAUCUCCUUGGGGGCA
RNAcentral lists this transfer RNA (73 nucleotides) under Chloroflexota bacterium. RNAcentral describes it as "Chloroflexi bacterium (anaerobic digester metagenome) tRNA-Glu". It matches the Rfam family "tRNA". Rfam says of the family: Transfer RNA (tRNA) molecules are approximately 80 nucleotides in length. Their secondary structure includes four short double-helical elements and three loops (D, anti-codon, and T loops). Lineage: Bacteria; Bacillati; Chloroflexota. The record is from RNAcentral. RNAcentral also lists the same sequence under 1 other name.